This 464-nucleotide ribosomal RNA is filed under the name uncultured bacterium. RNAcentral's name for it is "partial 16S ribosomal RNA". It matches the Rfam family "Bacterial small subunit ribosomal RNA", at positions 28 to 507 of the family's 1533-position model. The record is from RNAcentral.
GACGAACGCUGGCGGCGUGCUUAACACAUGCAAGUCGAACGGUAAGGCCCUUUCGGGGGUACACGAGUGGCGAACGGGUGAGUAACACGUGGGUGAUCUGCCCUGCACUUUGGGAUAAGCAUGGGAAACUGGGUCUAAUACCGGAUAGGACUACGCGAUGCAUGUAGUGUGGUGGAAAGCUUUUGCGGUGUGGGAUGGGCCCGCGGCCUAUCAGCUUGUUGGUGGGGUGAUGGCCUACCAAGGCGACGACGGGUAGCCGGCCUGAGAGGGUGUCCGGCCACACUGGGACUGAGAUACGGCCCAGACUCCUACGGGAGGCAGCAGUGGGGAAUAUUGCACAAUGGGCGCAAGCCUGAUGCAGCGACGCCGCGUGGGGGAUGACGGCCUUCGGGUUGUAAACCCCUUUCAGCACAGACGAAGCGUAAGUGACGGUAUGUGCAGAAGAAGCACCGGCCAACUACGUG